Molecule: transfer RNA, 67 nt
Filed under: Celes akitanus
Lineage: Eukaryota; Metazoa; Arthropoda; Insecta; Orthoptera; Acrididae
Also listed under: 1 other name
Description: tRNA-Cys
Source: RNAcentral
GGCCUUAUAUUCAAUUAUGAUUCUAGACUGCAAUUCUAGAGAUGUAAAUUUAGUUUUACUAAGGCUU